CGAACGCUGGCGGCGUGCCUAAUACAUGCAAGUCGAACGCUUCUUUCCUCCCGAGUGCUUGCACUCAAUUGGAAAGAGGAGUGGCGGACGGGUGAGUAACACGUGGGUAACCUACCCAUCAGAGGGGGAUAACACUUGGAAACAGGUGCUAAUACCGCAUAACAGUUUAUGCCGCAUGGCAUAAGAGUGAAAGGCGCUUUCGGGUGUCGUUGAUGGAUGGACCCGCGGUGCAUUAGCUAGUUGGUGAGGUAACGGCUCACCAAGGCCACGAUGCAUAGCCGACCUGAGAGGGUGAUCGGCCACACUGGGACUGAGACACGGCCCAGACUCCUACGGGAGGCAGCAGUAGGGAAUCUUCGGCAAUGGACGAAAGUCUGACCGAGCAACGCCGCGUGAGUGAAGAAGGUUUUCGGAUCGUAA
Molecule: ribosomal RNA, 420 nt
Filed under: uncultured bacterium
Lineage: Bacteria
Description: bacterial SSU rRNA
Rfam family: Bacterial small subunit ribosomal RNA
Source: RNAcentral